GGAACCACCUCAGAAGGUGAGCAGAACUUCACAGCAGAUCCUUACUAGAAGCCUGAAAGAAGGCUUUAUGUCUUAUAGAUUGGUAGUAGUUAGUAUGUAAAUAUAGUUGGGGCGAUUUACAGGAUGGCUGAAGUUCUGAGGCCACUGCUUGGGUUAGUAGCCCUUUUUGAUUUCAUUCGGGAUCCAGAAACCUUAGGCCUUCUCAUUUGAGGUCAUCUGCAGAACACUUGUGUUUCUGUUUGGUAGGUUUGCUGACUGAGAGACGUCAAGUGUCCCAAAUGCUCUAUCUGCUUGACUUUCUGCUUUUUAGAUACUACAAAAUUGUCUCUAAGUUUUUUGUUCGUUUAUUUGUUUUUUGUUUUUGCCUUUUUUAGGGCCGCUUCCUUGGCACAUGGAGGUUUCUAGGCUAGGGGUCUAAUCGGAGCUGUAGCUGCCGGCCUACCCCACAGCCACAUCAGCAUGGGAUCCGAGCUGCAUCUAUGACCUACACUACAGCUCAUGGCAACGCUGGAUCCUUAACCCACUGAGCAAGGCCAGGAAUCAAACCUGCAACCUCAUCGUUCCUAGUUGGAUUCGUUAACCACUGAGCCACAACGGGAACUCCUGGAAGUUUGUUUUGAAAUUAGUUACAUGAACAACUUUACUUAUAUUACACAUUAACACUUCUUUAGUAAAGAAUAUGUAUAUUUUUAUUAUACUUUAUUAUAAUUAUUAAAUGCUCAUUGUUUUUCUUUUAAACCACUUCAAUGGAAAUGGAAAUAUGAAUACUUCUUUUAGCCCAAAAAGCUAAGGAAAGGAGAUGUAAUUCUUUUUUUCAUAUUUUGAACUUGACCAGCUCAAGGUUUAGUCCCACAUUUCUCUGACAUUUAUACUGUGCCUUCAAACCCAGGUCUUCCCUUUGCUCAUCACUGCUCUGGCCAGUAAUUGGAACUUGUCUUUUGGAUUUGCAUUGUGUAAAUAGGCUUUGACAGGGGGCAAAUUUAAACUGUUGUAAAGAUUGCCUAUUCAUUUCUAAAACUGUAUUUUGUGGUAGAAUUGAAUUGCUAAUUUUGUUGAGGGAGUUUUAAAAUGAGGGGAAAACAAAAAGAACUUAUGGAAUAGUUGCACAUUACAAAAAAUAGAAUAGGAAUAUGAACAUUGUGGGGUCUUUUUUCUGAACUAGUCAGUAGCUGUUUAUUCUAAUGAUAAUUAACAAAAAAGAUUCCCAGACAUAAAUGAAAAUGAGUUUUAGUAUGAUGUAGCUGAUUAUAUAUAGAGUGGAGAUGGAAAAUGUACUAUAAAUACAAAUGAUUUGGCUUCUGUGUUCCUUUAUUUAGUAAUUUGGGAAGAGUUAGGGAGCUCCAGAACUGGAUAAGCAAGUUGAUGGACUACAUGUUUUGUUAAAUCUCAGAAUGCCUUUUCUUGGUGUGGAUGCAUCUAAGAUGAAUGGUUAAUUUGUUCUUGGUUCUUUUCAAUGACUGUCGUUGAGCAAUGACAAAUUGAAAAGAUGUCCUAACUCUGAGACUGUUGGCAUCUACUCCAGCCUUCUUUCAGCCUUCCCAUUGUAUUUGGGAAGUAUGUGACUGAAUGUGGCCUGGGAGGAGGGUUAUUUUUUGUUUUCUAAAGUUAAUUCUGGGCUUGUGUUAUGUAGAAUUGCAGCUUUUUGAUGAAGAAAAAAAAAAAAA
Molecule: long non-coding RNA, 1664 nt
Filed under: Sus scrofa (pig)
Lineage: Eukaryota; Metazoa; Chordata; Mammalia; Artiodactyla; Suidae
Description: lncRNA (ENSSSCG00005033917.1)
Source: RNAcentral